UGCGGCUUCGGGUCGCUGCUAGUMUGAUCGAGUCUGCAUAACUUUGAGCGGAUCGAACGGCCUUGCGCCGGCGACGGAUCUUUCMAAUGUGCAACCUAUCAACUUUCGAUGGCUACGUGAUAUGCCUMCCAUGGUUGUAACGGGUAACGGGGAAUCAGGGUUUGAUUCCGGAGAGGGAGCAUGAGAAACGGCUACCACAUCCAAGGAAGGCAGCAGGCGCGCAAAUUACCCACUCUCCGCACGAGGAGGUAGCGACGAAAAAUAACAAUGCCGGACUCUUUCGAGGCCCCGUAAUUGGAACUG
This 303-nucleotide ribosomal RNA is filed under the name uncultured eukaryote. RNAcentral's name for it is "bacterial SSU rRNA". It matches the Rfam family "Eukaryotic small subunit ribosomal RNA", at positions 212 to 519 of the family's 1831-position model. The record is from RNAcentral.